CAGCCGCCGCGGUAAUACGUAGGUCCCGAGCGUUGUCCGGAUUUAUUGGGCGUAAAGGGAGCGCAGGCGGUUUAGUAAGUCUGAAGUUAAAGGCAUUGGCUCAACCAAUGUAUGCUUUGGAAACUGUUAGACUUGAGUGCAGAAGGGGAGAGUGGAAUUCCAUGUGUAGCGGUGAAAUGCGUAGAUAUAUGGAGGAACACCGGUGGCGAAAGCGGCUCUCUGGCUUGUAACUGACGCUGAGGCUCGAAAGCGUGGGGAGCAAACAGGAUUAGAUACCCCUGUAGUCCCUGUCUCUUAUACC
This 301-nucleotide ribosomal RNA is filed under the name uncultured bacterium. RNAcentral's name for it is "partial 16S ribosomal RNA". It matches the Rfam family "Bacterial small subunit ribosomal RNA", at positions 509 to 808 of the family's 1533-position model. The record is from RNAcentral.